GUUAGUUUUCUGGCGACCGAGAAAACUCAUGGAAACUUGGAACCUUGGCCCGCUUACGGCGUCGUCACCCCCCGAGAGCUUGUACCCAGAUGAAAAUAGUCCACGGGCCCAUGAUGCUGUUGCCGUUUUCCAAAUUUGGUUUUGGAGAUCCCAAAUUUGUGAGGAGGGGUGGCACUGCAAAAAGGUGUCCCACCAACUCGCCCUUUUGGGUUGGUUUGUCGACCAUAAUCCUUUUUCCAUCCCCACUCUGCGUAGCGUCAAUUCGUAUGGGCCGUCGUAUCCAAACCCAGGCUUACAAUUCUGCGAAACUUAGAAACUCCAAGUUGGCAGGCGGUCCCCGCAUUUCUGUUGAGCAGUUUGCAUGAUGUUAUUUAUCAGAGCCCCUAGCGGUCGGAUGGCAGCAGCUCGUUUCGGGACGGAACAACACUCCCCAGAGGAGCUGCUCCUUGCUGGUGCUGCUGCUCUGACACUGACUCCUCCUCCUCCUGAGAUGGAAAGCAUGCGCGCAGUGCGAGGUUGAAGCCCAUUCCCCUGGAAUUCGUGGAACUGGAAGCUUGUUUUGAGGUACUUACAAUGAAGAAGAGCAGAGCCAGCUGCUCAGAUGCUUCUAGAAGGGCUCUAAACUCCUCAUAGGGUUACAGAACCAACCCACUACAUCAUUUCUUGUCUAGGAUUGGAUAUCAAGCUGAAUACAACUUGGUGGUGCCAUGACUCUCAUUCUGAUUUCAACCUUUAUUCAUGGAGUAAUUUCAUACAUACAUGUCUGUAUAUAUAUAUAUAUAUAUAUAUAUAAACCAACCUAUGUUCGGCUGGGGUGUCAAAAAAUCUCAUUAGCCGGGGCAAUAGGGUGGUAAAACCCAAUUACUCAGUUAUUGGGAUCAAAGGAUGGGACAGGCUGACGGCAACAAUAGCAGCAAUGGUGCAAAUGAACCUGACCCACACCUGGCUAACAUGAUGCCAUUUUUUAUUUUAUUUUUAAUUGCAAUAAGGAGCACUAAUUGGUAUAUAUAUAGUGUGUGUUUUUCUGUUUGAUUGGCUGCAAAAAAUGUACUCAACAUUGGCAUAACCAAUGGUUUAACCACUAGUAUGUAUGUAAGUAUAUAUAUAUAUAUAUAUAUAUAUAUAGUUAAAUGUUUUUGUGUGGGUGAGAAAGAAUAAAAGAAGUAGAACAAAGAUGAUAGUUCAAAGGUCAGUUUUUGAAACAUGUAUAUAAGUAACAUUUGAAUCAAUCAAUUAAUCAGUACACAAUGUGUGUAUGUGUUUAUGUGUGGACACACACACACAUACAUGCACACACCCUCUCUCUCCUGUUUAUGUGAUUCCAUCUGAUCUGUGACAAGGUACUCCCCAGGCGAUUCAAAGAGUGUGGCCAACAAGUGCAUGGAAAGCAUGAAGUUUCAGUGGGGAGCUAAUGGAAGCAAUGGUUCUAAGCUGUGUAUCUGUGUCAGAUGAGCAUCUUAGACAACCAGGCAUCUCUGAAAAUAUGGGAAGUCCUGGUGGGAUAGGAGACAAUGCCAGCACCUGUCCUGUGCAGAAUGACAUGGGUCUGAGCAGCAGCUUUUGUUUUGUGUUGUGUUUUGCUCCCUUACUGUACAUGUAUGUGUGUGUGAAUGCAUGAAUGAAUGGAGAAAAAUCUCACCAUGUCAUGAAAUAUGAGUGAAGUAAUAUAACAUACUUGGGAGUGGUAGGAUACUAUCUGUGGAAGCAUCAAAGAAUGUUUCAAUCUUAAAAGUUGAAAAAGCUAAUAAAUCUCUAAACCUCCAAUUAUAUGUAUAUAUAUAUAUAUAUAUAUAUGUAGGAAUGCAAGAAAACAGAAAAGUAAGAUCAAAGCGGAAGUGUCCAUUUAAUGCAAUUAUUAUUUGUCUCGUUGCCCAAGUUCUUUUAUUAUGUAGUAUGAUUUUCAACAUGAGAAUGAAAGAAAAUAGAGAAAGAGAGAAGAUGGAAAUUUAAUCUUACUUAAACAGUAAAUCAACCUUUGGUGACUCGCAGCUAGGUGAAAAAACUCCAACAUGUUUACACAACCCAUUUGUGGCUUUUUCGUUUGUAGAUCCUUACCCUCAAUGAGAAGAGAAUUCAGCUCCGUCUUUUUCACCCAUAGUGAUCUGAUUUUGCAGCGCAAGGAUGAGCAGCUGCUGAUGAUCUAGUGGCGUGGCUUCCGAGGCGAGUGUGAGCUCAUAACACUCCAAAACCUCAGUUCCCCAUGUAGUAACAGUAAGUGGUAGUUGUAGUUUGUUUGUUUGUUUGUUUGCUCACUGACGAGCUUGAGGUACUACCCUGAUCAUCGACUUUUGAUGGGAUCACACACAGGAAGCCAGCCACUGAAAAGAAAAAAGAAAAAAAUGGAGUCCAAUCCAAGAGCUCCAACAGUUGGUGGCCAAGCCAUGGAUCAAAUCCAACUCUGCCAAGAAAAUCGGCUCAAAAUUGCAAGCAGAGGACACACACACAGUAGCAAAGCAGAAGAGCCUGUCGGUCUUGUCUGAGACACAAGUUCUUGACUGUAGCUCUCGUAGCGUCAUCUCCCCAGUUUUGCAUUAGAGCUCCUGGCAUAACUUCUUGCUCACAUUUGUGGUUUUAGUAUUUUGAUAUUGUCAGGAUUGAGGGAGCUGUCUUGUACCAACGGGAAUUGCAGUUGCCUUUCAUGCAUCCCCAUGCUUGCAAGCUCCAAAAGACACCGCCAUGAAACUCGAAAUCGUGUGUGGUAUUGGUGUGUAGGGAGGCCCUUAGUCUUAGUUCGUACUUUGGUAGCAAGUGCUGUGUCCCGAUUAGUGGUGUGGUUUACAGGAAAUGAGGAAUGUUACUAACAUUACUGUUUUGGGAAACUUAGCUCUAUGCUUGUCUCCGGACUAGGAUGUGCAAAAGAAAUUUCAAUUUUGAACCAAAAUAUAUUUAUAUUUGACG
Non-coding RNA from Physcomitrium patens, 2898 nucleotides. NCBI's taxonomy places the organism in Eukaryota, Viridiplantae, Streptophyta, Bryopsida, Funariales, Funariaceae. The record is from RefSeq and is a predicted model, not a curated record.